Molecule: small nucleolar RNA, 129 nt
Filed under: Lepisosteus oculatus (spotted gar)
Lineage: Eukaryota; Metazoa; Chordata; Actinopteri; Semionotiformes; Lepisosteidae
Description: Small nucleolar RNA SNORA17
Rfam family: Small nucleolar RNA SNORA17
About the family: snoRNA ACA 17 belongs to the H/ACA family of snoRNAs and is predicted to guide pseudouridylation of the 28S rRNA at positions U4659 and U4598. It shares the same host gene together with ACA43.
Source: Rfam by way of RNAcentral
UUUGCCCCAUGAGACGUAAUCAUGGUUUGAGUGCCAUGUUUAUGCCAUAAGAGGGCAAACAGGAACUGGCCAUAAAUGGCCUUGGGCUUCUGCAGAGUGAGCUCCAAGGACGGUACGUGGCCAGAUAAA